Long non-coding RNA from Lolium rigidum, 1686 nucleotides. RefSeq lists it as uncharacterized. The transcript has 13 exons. Lineage: Eukaryota; Viridiplantae; Streptophyta; Magnoliopsida; Poales; Poaceae. The record is from RefSeq and is a predicted model, not a curated record.
AGUUACGCAAAUAUUAGGUGCUUGAACAAUUCUGAUCCAAUUUCCAUGAACAAAUGCAUGUUGUGGUAAACCGUAUGUGUUCAUUCUACUCCUAUUUUGAGGGAUUGCUUAAUUAGAUAUUGUAUGUUGUGUUCUACAGGAACUUGAUUGGGUCAAAUCCAUUUGCCUCCAAUUCGGUCUAUUUUGUCAUCGAUUCAAAUGGGUCUUUCUCUUUGCAUUUCUGGUUGCACAUUUAUUUUGAUCCCCUGUUUUUUUUUUGUUGCAGGUGUGUUAAAGGAAGACAAUUGAAGUUGAAUAGAAGAAUAGACCUAUAUCUUGCUGUUUUAGUAGAUGUAGAUUCAUGGAGAGCAUCUAAUGGAUUUGCUUGCAGCCAUGGAAGUGGACCCCUUCUAUCCUAUCCAUAAUGUAAUUAUAUGAAGAUAAAUUUACUCAUUGAAUUGCGGUGAUCAGCAACAGGGCAUCUCACCACAUCUAGAUAACAGCCUCCAGGUAAGCUCAGUCCAUUCGACUCCAAUUUGUCUACUCGGUUAUUCUACAGUAUGACCUGUAGAUUCCUACACCAACGACUAGCAAGAUGUUGUCUACAAUUGCCCUGUUUUUCUACUACGUUUGGUCCUGGAUGUUGUAUGAAUGGAAGAAGCUGCAGAAUAGUGACAACUCAUCGUUCUCUUACCCAUAUAUGUGAGGGAAGCAUCAGCUAAAUCAUGAGGAGUGUAGAACUGUAGACUGCUGUUGCCCCACAGAAGGAUGUGGAUGUCGGAACCAAGGUAUACCGCCCGCUCAUUUGCUUAUAAGGCAUUUCCUGACCAUCAUUGUGUCAGCCAGAGCAUUAAUCACGGGACUCCUGAUGUAUCCAUUGCGAUGCAAUAUGUGUGCAAAGCCCUUUUCAGCAUUUCCUAGGAUGUGAAGGAGGAGUGUAGACUGUUGUUGCCCCAAAGAAGGAUGAGGAUGUCGGAACCAAGGUAUAGCGCCCGCUCAUUUGCUUAUAAGGCAUUUCCUGACCAUCGUUGGGUCAGCCAGAGCAUUAAUCACGCACUGAGCUUUCCAAUGAUCCUCCAGCUACGACGAGAAAGUAAAACUAAGAAGCAUUAGAGCUAGAUUAUAGUAAUGAUGAUAAGCUGGCCUCAAGUAGUCCUCUGCCUCUCCCUCUGGAAAAUGUUUGGGUGAUCUGAUAAUGGCCCAUUUGAUCCUUCUUCUGAAUGUAAAUUGGCUAGAUUAGGCAAGAAGGGCUUGAGUGGCAUCUGAGCUCGCUGCUGCUAAUCAACAACCUAUUCUUGGCAUCAAUGCUUUCCAGGCAGGGCUAACAUUUCAAUGGGAGCAAAGCAUCCCAAAAUAUUUGUGGCCUGUGUCCCCAAAGAAGGUAUCAGGCUUGACAUGCCAAGAACCAAAGAAGAGGAGUGCACAUCGUGUGCCACUGAUGAGUCCAUUGUACGGCUACACCACCCGUCAUAAGGAAAACAUCGCUUCUGUCGACUGGAUGGAUGUCGGUUUCCCCGACGAUGACAGAGCGAGCGUCCAUAUCUCCGUGUGCACAAAGUACCGAAGAUGGUUAUCUCAGUAUCAUAUUUGUUAUCUUUAAGAUUUCGUCACCAGAUGUAUGCCAUGUUUUUGAGUAAGCCCGGCAUUCGCUAUGCUUUGUUUAUCCGACAACAUGGUGAAAAAAAGAUGUUAUAUAUUAUAUUGUUA